RNAcentral lists this ribosomal RNA (491 nucleotides) under uncultured bacterium. RNAcentral describes it as "partial 16S ribosomal RNA". It matches the Rfam family "Bacterial small subunit ribosomal RNA", at positions 29 to 507 of the family's 1533-position model. The record is from RNAcentral.
UUGCACGCUGGCGGCAUGCUUUACACAUGCAAGUCGCACGGUAACAGGCCUUCGGGUGCUGACGAGUGGCGAACGGGUGAGUAAUGCAUCGGAACGUACCCAGAGGUGGGGGAUAACGCAGCGAAAGCUGUGCUAAUACCGCAUGUGAUCUGAGGAUGAAAGCGGGGGACCGAGCAGCAAUGUUUGGCCUCGCGCCUUUGGAGCGGCCGAUGUCGGAUUAGCUAGUUGGUGGGGUAAAGGCCUACCAAGGCGACGAUCCGUAGCUGGUCUGAGAGGACGACCAGCCACACUGGGACUGAGACACGGCCCAGACUCCUACGGGAGGCAGCAGUGGGGAAUUUUGGACAAUGGGCGCGAGCCUGAUCCAGCAAUGCCGCGUGCGGGAAGAAGGCCUUCGGGUUGUAAACCGCUUUUGGCAGGAACGAAACGGUGUCCGCUAAUACCGGGCGCUAAUGACGGUACCUGCAGAAUAAGCACCGGCUAACUACGUG